GCGGUUAUACAAGUAAUGCAAUUAAUUUAUAUUAGUUAAUAAUAAGUUAUUUAUUAAAUAAUUAAAUAUUAAUUUUUUUAGGUGAAAUUUAGAAAUUUUAUAGAAUUAUUUUAAAGUUUAUGAUUUAUGAAAUUUGGAAAUAGACUAGGAUUAGAUACCCUAUUAUUUUAAAUGUAAAUAAAUUACUAAGUUAGUUAUAGUUAUGAUCUUAAAAGUUAAAAAUUUUGGCGGUAUUUUAGUCUAUUUAGAGGAACCUGUUUAGUAAUUGAUAAUCCACAAUUUAUUAAACUUAUUUUAGUAGUUUGUAUAUCGUCGUUAAUGAAUAUUUUAUAAGAACUAAUAUUCAAUAAUUAUUAUUUCAAUAAAAGUCAGAUCAAGGUGCAGCUUAUAUAUAAGAUGAAAUGGGUUACAAUAAAAAUAUUUAUAGAUAAUAAAUUGAAAAUUUGUUUGAAAGUGGAUUUAAUAGUAAUAAAAUUGAAUUAAAUUUUAUGAUUAUAGCUCUAAAAUAUGUACAUAUUGCCCGUCACUCUCAUAUAAAAUGAGAUAAGUCGUAACAAAGUAGAUGUACUGGAAAGUGUA
This 579-nucleotide ribosomal RNA is filed under the name Habrocerus capillaricornis. RNAcentral describes it as "partial 12S ribosomal RNA". The record is from RNAcentral. Lineage: Eukaryota; Metazoa; Arthropoda; Insecta; Coleoptera; Staphylinidae.